Molecule: non-coding RNA, 229 nt
Organism: Pelobates cultripes (western spadefoot toad)
Lineage: Eukaryota; Metazoa; Chordata; Amphibia; Anura; Pelobatidae
Source: the annotation of a GenBank genome assembly
AUCCUUUGCAACAAACACACAGGGCAUGGAAGAUGUGCUGAUUGGUGUUUCUAUACAAUUAAUCCCAUAUGGGGAAUUAACUUUCAAAUACUAAUGAAGUGACUUUUUGUCUCAGUUAUAAAAUAUACUGAGCUCAUCAUGCAAACAAUGCAACACAUUUACACUAUCCCACUCUCAUAAUAAGUGUAGUGGGCUUAUAGUAUUUUUAAAGCAACAAUCAUUCCAGGCA